RNAcentral lists this ribosomal RNA (477 nucleotides) under Candidatus Scalindua marina (nom. nud.). RNAcentral describes it as "bacterial SSU rRNA". It matches the Rfam family "Bacterial small subunit ribosomal RNA", at positions 365 to 832 of the family's 1533-position model. The record is from RNAcentral. Lineage: Bacteria; Pseudomonadati; Planctomycetota; Candidatus Brocadiia; Candidatus Brocadiales; Candidatus Scalinduaceae.
UUCGCAAUGCCCGAAAGGGUGACGAAGCGACGCCGCGUGGGUGAGGAAGGCCUUCGGGUUGUAAAGCCCUGUCAGGGGUUAAGAAAUGUAAGUGCGCUAAUAUCGCACUUAUUUGACGAAGGCUCCAAAGGAAGCCACGGCUAACUCUGUGCCAGCAGCCGCGGUAAUACAGAGGUGGCAAGCGUUGUUCGGAAUUAUUGGGCGUAAAGAGCACGUAGGUGGGUUUGUAAGUCAGAUGUGAAAGCCUUCUGUUCAACGGAAGAAUUGCAUCUGAAACUACAAGUCUUGAGUGUAGGAGGGGAGAAUGGAACUUCUGGUGGAGCGGUGAAAUGCGUAGAUAUCAGAAGGAACGCCGGCGGCGAAAGCGAUUCUCUGGCCUAUUACUGACACUCAGUGUGCGAAAGCUAGGGGAGCAAACGGGAUUAGAUACCCCGGUAGUCCUAGCUGUAAACGAUGGGCACUAAGUAGAGGGGUUUU